Molecule: ribosomal RNA, 728 nt
Filed under: Brachybacterium sp. GN0406-11.4.1
Lineage: Bacteria; Bacillati; Actinomycetota; Actinomycetes; Micrococcales; Dermabacteraceae
Description: bacterial SSU rRNA
Rfam family: Bacterial small subunit ribosomal RNA
Source: RNAcentral
CGCCUGAUUAGUGGCGAACGGGUGAGUAACACGUGAGUAACCUGCCCUUCACUCUGGGAUAACCUCGGGAAAUCGGGGCUAAUACCGGAUAUGAGUUCCUGCCGCAUGGUGGGGAUUGGAAAGUUUUUCGGUGAAGGAUGGGCUCGCGGACUAUCAGUUUGUUGGUGAGGUAGUGGCUCACCAAGGCGAUGACGGGUAGCCGGCCUGAGAGGGCGACCGGCCACACUGGGACUGAGACACGGCCCAGACUCAUACGGGAGGCAGCAGUGGGGAAUAUUGCACAAUGGGCGAAAGCCUGAUGCAGCGACGCCGCGUGAGGGAUGACGGCCUUCGGGUUGUAAACCUCUUUCAGCAGGGAAGAAGCGAAAGUGACGGUACCUGCAGAAGAAGCGCCGGCUAACUACGUGCCAGCAGCCGCGGUAAUACGUAGGGCGCAAGCGUUGUCCGGAAUUAUUGGGCGUAAAGAGCUUGUAGGUGGCUUGUCGCGUCUGCCGUGAAAACCCGAGGCUCAACCUCGGGCGUGCGGUGGGUACGGGCAGGCUAGAGUGUGGUAGGGGAGACUGGAACUCCUGGUGUAGCGGUGAAAUGCGCAGAUAUCAGGAAGAACACCGAUGGCGAAGGCAGGUCUCUGGGCCAUUACUGACACUGAGAAGCGAAAGCAUGGGGAGCGAACAGGAUUAGAUACCCUGGUAGUCCAUGCCGUAAACGUUGGGCACUAGAUGUGGGGA